ACAAAAAUGAUGAAGGGGAAAAGUAGGCGGAACACAGCCUUUCAGGGAGGAGGCGCCGUGACUGAAAGCGCUUCUAUGGCAUGAUCCGUUGAAGUUCUCCCCGGAGUUGCCCGGCUGAAACCGCACGGAAAGUAGGCCCGGCCGGAGGCUUCCACCGUUAAAAGGAAGGGGGUAUAAGGAAAAUUGCUCCCGUACCCUGCGUAACGAGCGGGCUCCUUUGUGGGCCAACUAGGGUGGUACCGCGAAAAACAACUUUUCGUCCCUAAG
This 267-nucleotide non-coding RNA is filed under the name Pelotomaculum thermopropionicum. RNAcentral's name for it is "T-box sequence". It matches the Rfam family "T-box leader". From Rfam's summary of the family: Uncharged tRNA acts as the effector for transcription antitermination of genes in the T-box leader family. T-boxes are found upstream of many aminoacyl-tRNA synthetase genes and some amino acid biosynthetic genes usually in Gram-positive bacteria. Lineage: Bacteria; Bacillati; Bacillota; Clostridia; Eubacteriales; Desulfotomaculaceae. The record is from RNAcentral.